GUAUUUCGGUACGUAAAGUUCUUUUAUUAGGGAAGAAAAGAUGGUGGAAAAACCAUUAUGACGGUACCUAAUGAAUAAGCCCCGGCUAACUAUGUGCCAGCAGCCGCGGUAAUACAUAGGGGGCAAGCGUUAUCCGGAAUUAUUGGGCGUAAAGGGUGCGUAGGCGGUUAAAUAAGUUUAUGGUCUAAGUGCAAUGCUUAACGUUGUGAUGCUAUAAAAACUGUUUAGCUAGAGUUGGAUAGAGGCAAGUGGAAUUCCAUGUGUAGUGGUAAAAUGCGUAAAUAUAUGGAGGAACACCAGAAGCGAAGGCGGCUUGCUGGGUCUUAACUGACGCUGAGGCACGAAAGCGUGGGGAGCAAACAGGAUUAGAUACCCUGGUAGUCCACGCCCUAAACGAUGAGUACUAAACAUUGGGUAAAACCAGUGUUGAAGUUAACACAUUAAGUACUCCGCCUGAGUAGUACGUACGCAAGUAUGAAACUUAAAGGAAUUGACGGGACUCCGCACAAGCGGUGGAUCAUGUUGUUUAAUUCGAAGGUACCCGAAAAACCUCACCAGGUCUUGACAUGCUUUUGCAAAGCGGUAGAAAUAUCGUGGAGGUUAUCAGAAGCACAGGUGGUGCAUGGUUGUCGUCAGCUCGUGUCGUGAGAUGUUGGGUUAAGUCCCGCAACGAGCGCAACCCUUGUUGUUAAUUGCCAUCAUUAAGUUGGGGACUUUAGCAAGACUGCCAGUGAUAAAUUGGAGGAAGGUGGGGACGACGUCAAAUCAUCAUGCCCCUUAUGACCUGGGCUACAAACGUGAUACAAUGGCUGUUACAAAGGGCAGCUAAAGCGUAAGCUU
RNAcentral lists this ribosomal RNA (840 nucleotides) under Candidatus Phytoplasma australiense. RNAcentral describes it as "bacterial SSU rRNA". It matches the Rfam family "Bacterial small subunit ribosomal RNA", at positions 413 to 1264 of the family's 1533-position model. Lineage: Bacteria; Bacillati; Mycoplasmatota; Mollicutes; Acholeplasmatales; Acholeplasmataceae. The record is from RNAcentral.